Molecule: non-coding RNA, 212 nt
Organism: Pelobates cultripes (western spadefoot toad)
Lineage: Eukaryota; Metazoa; Chordata; Amphibia; Anura; Pelobatidae
Source: the annotation of a GenBank genome assembly
GCCUUUUUCAAGCAUUUGUUUGGAUAGCCCUUGGUCUUAAAGUGAGACCUAAGGGUAUUUGCUUUCAAUUUGAAGUCCUCAAGAGAGGAACAGUUCCUUCUUAGCCUUAAAUAUUGGCCUAUCGGUAUCCCUCUUUUUAGAGUGGGGGGAUGGUAACUCCCCCAGUUAAGAAAAUUAUUGGUUGCUGUUGGUUUUUGAUAAAGUGUAGUAGA